GCCUGCCGCCAUGUAAACGUUCUUUGCUCCUGCUUCGUCUUCUGCCGUGAUUGUGAGGCCUCCCCAGCCAUGUGGAACUACUCAUCACUCACUGCAGAUGUUACUUUAAGACAUUCUGGAGCAGCGUCAUGUGCAGGAACAAUAAGGAAUUCUCUUGCCUGCCACCAUGUAAGAUAUGCUUUUACUCUUCCGCCUUCCACCGUGACUGUGAGGCCUCCCCAGCCAUGUGAAACUGCCUUUGAGCUUAUACUGAAUUAUACCACCAGCUUUCCUAGGUCUUGAAGCUUACAGACAGCAGAUCUUGGGACUUCUCAGGCACCAUAAUCAAUCAUAGAUAAAUGAUCCAAUGAUUCGGAACUUGAAAAGUGGUAGCUUUAUGAAUUCUCCUUAAGAAGAAACCUGUGCCCUGAUCUUGCCUACUCACCCAAAGGCACUGUGAGAUAGCAUCAAAGGAACAGCUAGUAAGAGACACAGAGCCAGAAAUCAGGGAAGUAAAAUACACUUGACAUCUACGUUCGGAAAGAAAUUUUAGGAGGCAGAAGCAAAUGGAUCAGAAGCUGCUUAUAUUUUUGCAAGAUUACCAAAGAAACCAUUGGUGGAGAAAGUUCUGUGACCAACUUGUCUGAGUCUAGUAAGAUUGAACGCUCACACACAAGUUUCAUGAAGUGGGUUUGAUACUUACAGAUAAGCAGCAAGGACCAACAGAAGCUGAUGAUCUAUGGUGAACUUUUUCCCAAGGCUCCGGAAAGCUGCCUAAAGUAGAUGGAGUCUUCUCUGUGUGUGCCCCACUGGUCCUGCAGUUGAAGGAUCCGGUAAAGCAGCCUGCCCUUGGUUUUAUACUCCAGAGGAACGUGAUUCGCUGGACUAAAGCAUUGAAGUGCAUCCUGUUUCCGGGGGGCACUGGAACAGAGCCUGGUCUGUUCUAGCCAGUCCCUUUCUAUCUCAGGAUAACAUUCUACAGUUAUUCUUGAGAACUAUAAUCAAAUAAGCAGGGAGAACUGGGAAAGCAGAGGCUCAUUGUGGAACCCUCAAGGAGCAUGGGGUCGUCUUCAUCCCUCAGUUUAUAAAUGGCCAAGGAGAGUAAUGCAACAAAAACUUCUCAGAGUUAAAAGCCAGAGUUCCUAAAGAACCGUGGACAAAGGGUUCUGUCUAGUGGGCAGAAUUCAUCCAGCGAAGGUGCUUACUGCACUCCCAGCAUGUGCUUGGGAACUUUAUUAAAAUUCCUUCCUAUUGAGAUUUAAAUUGCUGUCCAGAAUUAUACAAUAUAAUGAAUGGGGGCAUUCAUUAUGUGUAUUCUAUGCCUUCUCCAUCAUUGCAUAUUCAGUCCUCGUGCUAGAGAGAGGCAGAUAAUCUACCUUUUAAAUUGAUAGGUCUCCUAACUACAGAGGGUCACAUCUGGAUCUGAUGGCACCUACAGAACUUGGACUCUGAGCGACAAUCAGUGACCAGGAAAUUUGGAACCCAGGUUUUCCCAACCUACAUCUACAAAAUGGAAUGGGUCUGAUUCGCAAGUUUUCAGAGAAAGAAGCCAACCUUAAUCAGACUGUGAUAUGAUGAGGAAAUAAAACUUGCUGUGCUAAUCAACUGA
Homo sapiens (human) is the source of this 1588-nucleotide long non-coding RNA. Ensembl annotates it as long intergenic non-protein coding RNA 2241. The record is from Ensembl. NCBI's taxonomy places the organism in Eukaryota, Metazoa, Chordata, Mammalia, Primates, Hominidae.